RNAcentral lists this ribosomal RNA (253 nucleotides) under uncultured bacterium. Its description in RNAcentral is "partial 16S ribosomal RNA". It matches the Rfam family "Bacterial small subunit ribosomal RNA", at positions 524 to 776 of the family's 1533-position model. The record is from RNAcentral.
UACGGGGGGGGCAAGCGUUGUUCGGAAUUACUGGGCGUAAAGGGCUCGUAGGCGGCCAACUAAGUCGGAUGUGAAAUCCCCAGGCUUAACCUGGGAACUGCAUCCGAUACUGGAUGGCUUGAAUCCGGGAGAGGGAUGCAGAAUUCCAGGUGUAGCGGUGAAAUGCGUAGAUAUCAAGAGGAACACCUGAGGUGAAGACGGGUUGCUGGGCUGACCCUGACGCUGAGGCGCGAAAGCUAGGGGAGCAAACGGG